This is a long non-coding RNA of Ipomoea nil (Japanese morning glory), 104 nucleotides long. RefSeq lists it as uncharacterized. Lineage: Eukaryota; Viridiplantae; Streptophyta; Magnoliopsida; Solanales; Convolvulaceae. The record is from RefSeq and is a predicted model, not a curated record. The transcript has 3 exons.
AACCCUAGAUGUUGUGUAUAUCCCUUUGCAACCAACCUUGCCUUAUACCUUUCUAUGGAUCCAUCUGCUUUGUGUUUAACCUUGUAUACCCACCAACAACCAAU